CAGCCGCCACGGGAAUACGUAGGGUGCGAGCGUUAAUCGGAAUUACUGGGCGUAAAGCGUGCGCAGGCGGUUGUGUAAGACAGGUGUGAAAUCCCCGGGCUUAACCUGGGAACUGCGCUUGUGACUGCACAGCUAGAGUAUGGCAGAGGGGGGUGGAAUUCCACGUGUAGCAGUGAAAUGCGUAGAGAUGUGGAGGAACACCGAUGGCGAAGGCAGCCCCCUGGGCCAAUACUGACGCUCAUGCACGAAAGCGUGGGGAGUAAACAGGAUUAGAUACCCCCGUAGUCCCUGUCUCUUAUAC
RNAcentral lists this ribosomal RNA (301 nucleotides) under uncultured bacterium. RNAcentral's name for it is "partial 16S ribosomal RNA". It matches the Rfam family "Bacterial small subunit ribosomal RNA", at positions 509 to 807 of the family's 1533-position model. The record is from RNAcentral.